UACAGAGGGUGCGAGCGUUGUCCGGAAUCACUGGGCGUAAAGGGCGCGUAGGUGGCGACCCAAGUCGAUGGUGAAAGCUCGCCGCUCAACGGCGAGUCGGCCACCGAUACUGGGUUGCUGGAGCACUGUAGAGGGCAGAUGGGAAUUCCGGGUGUAGCGGUGGAAUGCGGUAGAGAUCCGGAAGAACGACCGGUGGCGAAGGCGGUCUGCUGGGCAGUUGCUGACACUGAGGCG
Molecule: ribosomal RNA, 234 nt
Filed under: uncultured bacterium
Lineage: Bacteria
Description: partial 16S ribosomal RNA
Rfam family: Bacterial small subunit ribosomal RNA
Source: RNAcentral